CAGGUGAGGCCAGGGUUGAUUAAAGGUGUUCCAGGUGAGGCCAGGGUUGAUUAAAGGUGUUCCAGGUGAGGCCAGGGUUGAUUAGAGGUGUUCCAGGUGAGGCCAAGGUUGAUUAAAGGUGUUCCAGGUGAGGCCAAGGUUGAUUAAAGGUGUUCCAGGUGAGGCCAAGGUUGAUUAAAGGUGUUCCAGGUGAGGCCAAGGUUGAUUAAAGGUGUUCCAGGUGAGGCCAAGGUUGAUUAAAGGUGUUCCAGGUGAGGCCAAGGUUGAUUAAAGGUGUUCCAGGUGAGGCCAGGGUUGAUUAGAGGUGUUCCAGGUGAGGCCAAGGUUGAUUAAAGGUGUUCCAGGUGAGGCCAGGGUUGAUUAGAGGUGUUCCAGGUGAGGCCAAGGUUGAUUAAAGGUGUUCCAGGUGAGGCCAAGGUUGAUUAAAGGUGUUCCAGGUGAGACGUGAGAAUAAUAAGUGGAUGGUGGAUAUAGGGAUGAAGGGAGGAUAGAUAGGAAAAGGGCAAAGACAAGAUGGAAUAGAAGGAAGGGAAGAAGGAAAGAAAGAAAGGAAGGAGAAACGUAUGAGCAAAGAAUGAAAAUAAUGACAGGUGAGGAAGGAAGGAGGAGGAAGUAAUGAGAGAAAGAAAGGAGAAAGGGAUAGAGAAGGAAGGAAGAAAGAAAGAAAGGAAGGAAAGAGAGGGCGAUAGGAGAGAAGAGGAAAAGGGAAAGACAAGAAGGAAUGAGAGAAAACGGAGGAAAGAAAGAAA
Long non-coding RNA from Eriocheir sinensis (Chinese mitten crab), 749 nucleotides. RefSeq lists it as uncharacterized. The transcript has 3 exons. Lineage: Eukaryota; Metazoa; Arthropoda; Malacostraca; Decapoda; Varunidae. The record is from RefSeq and is a predicted model, not a curated record.